GCGAAUUUGGCUGCUGAAUGUUUGAUGUUUUCAAAAUGGAUGUUAAAAGUUAUUCUGAAAAAAAAAAAAAAAAAAAAGAUUUACAGCAGAGCGUUGCAUUUCCACAAAAGCGUCAUUAAUAAUUGCAGGACAGUGAAAGCAGCCAUCAGGUGUGAUGAGCACAUAGUCAUUCCUUUCGUUUCAAGUUUUCGGGUCCUGCUGGACAGUCUGCACAGGAGAGACAAAAACAGCACAACAACACGAGGACUUCCUAAACAGAAACCCAUACUAGGGGUGAAGCGGGUCAUGGUAGUUGUAUCAGGCAGGGGGGGUUUGGGAAAUCCACUACAGCAGGGAAAAUACUGUCCAUUCGACCGCCAAAGUGGAGUCUUAGAACAGGCCUCUUAAGGCGGAUGGUCUGAAGGUCUUUACAGGGAGUCUCCUACACAGGUGAUCUUUAAAGGAGUGCUAAAGAAGGGUAAAAAAAAUAAAAAUAAAAAUCUUGCCUCACAAUAGAAUUGCUGCAUUCCCUUAUUAGAGGUAAUUUGGGGUAAAACUUCUUAAACCACUGUACUAUGAUGACAUUAAGAGGAACAGUCUUGUCUUGUAUUUUUUUUUUUUUUACCCUGUUACCCAGUUUCUCCUGCAGUUUUAACAUUCAGCUUUCUUGUUUACUGCAUAUUGCUGAUGCAGUGUUGUGUCUUGCUAGUUGAGUAAGACUGCAGCAUAAUGUAAAUCGAGUGCUGUGGUAGUAAGAGCGCCAUCUGCUGUUUGCUUGUUUUCUGUUCUCUAACAUUUCAGUAAAAUGACAGUGACAGCUCCCAGACAGCUAUUCAGUAACAAAUUUUGCAGUGACAUAAUAGUGAGCAGAAAUUAUUAGAUAAAAUACAGGUUUAAUGCAGUUUGCUCAAUUGCAUGUUUUGCAAUUAAUUUAGAAAAUUCAGUUCAAUAUGCACUUGAUAGGGGGAAUCUAUCUUUAAAAAAUGUACUUUCUUUGUGCUACAGUGAACUUGGCCCUUGGAUUAGUGGCAAAUGAUGCUGUAAGUAUUGCAUUCAUCUUUUGAAACCAGGAUUAUAUUGUUCCACACACCCCAGCUUCAAAUAAAAGUCAAUGUGAUUUUUUUAUUUGACUGUAUAUGUAUCAUUUAAAAACAUUUUUGAAUCCCUGGAUUACAAACACCUCUUUGGGUUGUCCUUGCAUGGCAUCUGGUGUAAUGCCGAUAGUCUCUCAUUACACAUUGAUAUUACAUUUAGAGUAUAUUUUCGCCAACUACUUCGAAAAUGUAUGAAUUAUAUGAAGGAGUAAUUUGAAAACUAGGACAGUAAAUGUUACAAAACUAACAAAAUGCAACUCAGAAGGUUAAUUAAUUCAAAAGUAUGUCAGGGUUGUUUUUCACAAGAUUUGUAAGUUAUUAACAUUUUGAUUUUUCUUGAUUAAUGAAAUGUACAACCUGAUAAUCAUGUUUCUGCUAUGACGGAGUAAGUCAGUGGGACUACUGGAUGCAGAUAUUUAUGGUCCAUCGAUCGCCAAACGGAUGAAUCUGAGAGGCAACCCAGAACUGACUGCCACUUCGCUUUCUUUAUUAGCGAUUUAUAGGAGCAGUGCUUGAUGUUAAAUCAUCUACGGUACUUAUGUGGUUCCACAUGCACCUCCAAUGGGUCAGUGCUGUUAACCCUUUCAUGCAGGACUACCUCCUAUGUCAUUUUCCAUAUA
Molecule: long non-coding RNA, 1693 nt
Organism: Polyodon spathula (Mississippi paddlefish)
Lineage: Eukaryota; Metazoa; Chordata; Actinopteri; Acipenseriformes; Polyodontidae
Exons: 3
Source: RefSeq, a predicted model, not a curated record